RNAcentral lists this small RNA (235 nucleotides) under Marmota monax (woodchuck). Lineage: Eukaryota; Metazoa; Chordata; Mammalia; Rodentia; Sciuridae. The record is from RNAcentral.
GCAGAGCGUGGGGGCACAUGCCUGUAAUCCCAGUGACUUGGGACGCUGAGGCAGGAGGAUCACAAGUGCCAAGGAGGUUUCUGAUGUAGGUGGUCAGACUAUGGUGUCAAAGCUCCAGAGAAAAGGCUAAGUUGUAGGAUAAAGUACUGAAGUACUGCCUGCUGGAUUUCCUUACCUCUGAAAUUUGAGGCCAGCCCUGGGGGACCCUAAGCAAUUUAGUGAGUCCCUGUCUCAA